RNAcentral lists this ribosomal RNA (308 nucleotides) under uncultured bacterium. RNAcentral's name for it is "bacterial SSU rRNA". It matches the Rfam family "Bacterial small subunit ribosomal RNA", at positions 490 to 793 of the family's 1533-position model. The record is from RNAcentral.
GCACCGGCUAACUCCGUGCCAGCAGCCGCGGUAAUACGGAGGGUGCGAGCGUUAAUCGGAAUUACUGGGCGUAAAGCGCAUGCAGGUGGUUUGUUAAGUCAGAUGUGAAAGCCCGGGGCUCAACCUCGGAAUAGCAUUUGAAACUGGCAGACUAGAGUACUGUAGAGGGGGGUAGGAAUUUCAGGUGUAGCGGUGAAAUGCGUAGAGAUCUGAAGGAAUACCGGUGGCGAAGGCGGCCCCCUCGGACAGAUACUGACACUCAGAUGCGAAAGCGUGGGGAGCAAACAGGAUUAGAGGUACCCUGGUAG